Molecule: ribosomal RNA, 641 nt
Filed under: Methylobacterium sp. B34
Lineage: Bacteria; Pseudomonadati; Pseudomonadota; Alphaproteobacteria; Hyphomicrobiales; Methylobacteriaceae
Description: bacterial SSU rRNA
Rfam family: Bacterial small subunit ribosomal RNA
Source: RNAcentral
UCCGAACNNUGUGCGGCAGGCUUAACACAUGCAAGUCGAGCGGGCCCUUCGGGGUCAGCGGCGGACGGGUGAGUAACGCGUGGGAACGUGCCUUCUGGUUCGGAAUAACCCUGGGAAACUAGGGCUAAUACCGGAUACGCCCUUAUGGGGAAAGGUUUACUGCCGGAAGAUCGGCCCGCGUCUGAUUAGCUAGUUGGUGGGGUAACGGCCUACCAAGGCGACGAUCAGUAGCUGGUCUGAGAGGAUGAUCAGCCACACUGGGACUGAGACACGGCCCAGACUCCUACGGGAGGCAGCAGUGGGGAAUAUUGGACAAUGGGCGCAAGCCUGAUCCAGCCAUGCCGCGUGAGUGAUGAAGGCCUUAGGGUUGUAAAGCUCUUUUAUCCGGGACGAUAAUGACGGUACCGGAGGAAUAAGCCCCGGCUAACUUCGUGCCAGCAGCCGCGGUAAUACGAAGGGGGCUAGCGUUGCUCGGAAUCACUGGGCGUAAAGGGCGCGUAGGCGGCGUUUUAAGUCGGGGGUGAAAGCCUGUGGCUCAACCACAGAAUGGCCUUCGAUACUGGGACGCUUGAGUAUGGUAGAGGUUGGUGGAACUGCGAGUGUAGAGGUGAAUUCGUAGUAUUCGCAAGAACANCGGUGCC